UUUAAAGUUAAGAGUACGUAUGAAUUGUUAGAAAAUAAAUAAUUAAUAUUGUACAGGACCCGCCGACAAGAGACUGAAGAAAGACAAUCGAUCAAAGACGUGAGGACAGUAAAUCGGUCAUCUGAACGAAAGUAUUAGUUGGCCUGGUAGGCACAUUGAAGGGCAUUAAUGGGUAAUUAAUGUCGACAACCCAUCGGAGUGAAUUGCGUUCUCGGAGAGGAUUGAAC
Molecule: small RNA, 227 nt
Filed under: Vigna angularis var. angularis
Lineage: Eukaryota; Viridiplantae; Streptophyta; Magnoliopsida; Fabales; Fabaceae
Description: Non-protein coding transcript
Source: RNAcentral